GACGAACGCUGGCGGCGUGCUUAACACAUGCAAGUCGAACGGAAAGGCCCUGCUUUUGUGGGGUGCUCGAGUGGCGAACGGGUGAGUAACACGUGAGUAACCUGCCCUUGACUUUGGGAUAACUUCAGGAAACUGGGGCUAAUACCGGAUAGGAGCUCCUGCUGCAUGGUGGGGGUUGGAAAGGUUCGGCGGUUGGGGAUGGACUCGCGGCUUAUCAGCUUGUUGGUUGGGUAGUGGCUUACCAAGGCUUUGACGGGUAGCCGGCCUGAGAGGGUGACCGGCCACAUUGGGACUGAGCUACGGCCCAGACGCCUACGGGAGGCAGCAGUGGGGAAUAUUGCACAAUGGGCGGAAGCCUGAUGCAGCAACGCCGCGUGCGGGAUGACGGCCUUCGGGUUGUAAACCGCUUUCGCCUGUGACGAAGCGUGAGUGACGGUAAUGGGUAAAGAAGCACCGGCUAACUACGUG
Molecule: ribosomal RNA, 468 nt
Filed under: uncultured bacterium
Lineage: Bacteria
Description: partial 16S ribosomal RNA
Rfam family: Bacterial small subunit ribosomal RNA
Source: RNAcentral